AUUGAACGCUGGCGGCAUGCCUUACACAUGCAAGUCGAACGGCAGCACGGGUGCUUGCACCUGGUGGCGAGUGGCGAACGGGUGAGUAAUACAUCGGAACAUGUCCUGUAGUGGGGGAUAGCCCGGCGAAAGCCGGAUUAAUACCGCAUACGAUCUACGGAUGAAAGCGGGGGACCUGCGGGCCUCGCGCUAUAGGGUUGGCCGAUGGCUGAUUAGCUAGUGGGUGGGGUAAAGGCCUACCAAGGCGACGAUCAGUAGCUGGUCGGGGAGGACGAGUAGCCACACUGGGAGUGAGACAGGCCACAGAGUGCUACGGGAGGGAGCAGUAGGGAAAUUGGGGGAAGGGGCGAGAGACUGAGCCAACUAGGCCGCGUGUGGGAAGAAGGCCGUCGGGUUGUAAAGCACGUUUGUCCGGAAAGAAACCGUUGGCCCUAAUACGGUCGGGGGGAUGACGGUACCGGAAGAAUAAGCACCGGCUAACUACGUG
Molecule: ribosomal RNA, 487 nt
Filed under: uncultured bacterium
Lineage: Bacteria
Description: partial 16S ribosomal RNA
Rfam family: Bacterial small subunit ribosomal RNA
Source: RNAcentral